This 1327-nucleotide long non-coding RNA is filed under the name Hordeum vulgare. Its description in RNAcentral is "long non-coding RNA (HVUL_LNC021235)". Lineage: Eukaryota; Viridiplantae; Streptophyta; Magnoliopsida; Poales; Poaceae. The record is from RNAcentral.
CCUCCUCCCCGUCGCCUCUGCGGCGGCGCGAAGCCGCCCUGCUUUCUCUCCAAUGCGGUGCAACGACCUCCUCUGCUCUGGACGGAAUAAAUUUUCAGCCUCUCUUGCAAGCGACGCCUCUCACCUCUCUCUCAGGCUCUCUGAGGUCGCGCUCCCGCCAAAACCCUAGCUUCCGUCGCGGCCGCGCGGGAGAACUCGGUGCAGCCCCCGCGAAAACACCUCGCCCCUGCUCUGGUCUUUCCGAUGAAACCACCAAGAUUGUGCUUUUUUGCCUUAAGUGAAUACUGUCCACAGGAUGUGAAUGAAUGGUAGAUAUUAUGGGGUAAGGCUCUCUGUGACUUGGGUCGGCGCACCCGCACCUCCCCGCGCCGCUACACCAACUCUCUCCCCCGGGCCGCCGCACCAGCUCCUCACCACAUCGCGCGGCCGGGAAAUGGCACUCGUCCCCUCAUUGCGCGUGGAGCCAAGCCUCAGCCGCGUCAGAUCCGGCGACCCGAGGCACAAAUCCAUCGAUUCGGUCCCGGAUCCAGCGACCGGCGUGCUCGCUGUGGGCGGCGGAGCACCUCCCUCCACUCGCCAUAUCCACCCCACCGGCCUUCCACUUGCUUCCUCCCCUGCCUCAUCGGGUCGAUGAAGAGUCCCUCCUUCAUAGAGCUCUGCCAUCGGCCUCCGGUCAUCCUCUUCUCCCUUCGACCACCACCUCUCCUUCACCGUCUACGAUGACGGUUGCCAUGCCGCCGCCCCUCACUUCUCGUGCAGUCUGCUAGGGCAAACCGUCCAGUCUGCCGGGGCCUGCCAAUGCACCCCCACGCAGCUCUCUCCUCCCCGGUGUAUUAUGUUGCCCUCUGAUGCUUGAGCUUUUUUUUGCGCGAGUCUUACAGCUUGAGAUUGAAGGGUUGGUGCAUUUUACAAGGUUCUGUAACCCAUGAGUGUCUUUUCUUUUGGGGGAGAAACAUGCAACUGUGAUGUCCGUGAUACUCCAAUGCUGAAGAUUCUACCGCUUCGUGUUGUUCUGCACUUUGGUCUCUCUCUGUUUUGUAUAUGCAUUUCGGUCCUCAAAUGUUGGAAGAUUUAUCGCCUUCUGUUAUGUUAAAACCUGUGUUGAUAUAUCUUUUCUAUGUAUUUCUUUAAAAAGUCCUAGGACUUUUUUUGUCCCAACUAAAAAGUCUUUAGUCCCUAUCAGUUUCUUUCCAAGGUCUAAACAUAGACUAUAGGUCAUUAAAUGACAUACAAAAAGACCAUGUAACCCUUAGUAAUAUACUAGAAGUUAUUAAAUGACAUGCUAAAAGUAGGGGCAUUGUUGAGAAAAGAGCCAAAAAAAGUCCCA